Molecule: ribosomal RNA, 813 nt
Filed under: Triticum aestivum (bread wheat)
Lineage: Eukaryota; Viridiplantae; Streptophyta; Magnoliopsida; Poales; Poaceae
Description: partial small subunit ribosomal RNA
Source: RNAcentral
AUGGGAUUUCGUGAUUUAUAUUCAUUCAACUUAGUUAUGCUUGCUAAGCAAUGCUGGAGGCUCAUCACUAAUCCAGAUUCCUUGGUUGCAAAAGUACUGAAAGCUAAAUACUACCCCAAUGGAACUCUUUUGGAUGCGACCCCAAAGAAUGGGUCAUCAUUUACAUGGCAAAGUAUUUUAAAGGGCCUUGAUACAUUCAAGAAAGGUUACAUAUGGAGGAUUGGUACUGGUGAGGAGGUAAAUAUAUGGAGGGAUCCUUGGAUACCUUCAAGCUCAGAUAUGAAGGUAAUUACACCGAGAGGCCAAUCAAUUAUUACAAGAGUUUGUGAACUCAUUGAUCCGGUGACCGGGGAGUGGGAUGAACAGCUAUUACAGAGCCUUUUCUACCCUGUAGAUAUUAGAAGAAUACUUCAGAUCCUGCUCAACACACACGCAUUUGAGGAUUUCAUUGCCUGGCAACCUAAUCGCACCGGAAUUUUUUCAGUGAAAACUGCGUACCAUUUGCAAUGGAUGCACACUUAUAGGGCACUUGCAAAUAUGAUGGUGAGGGCUGGUGGUUCAACGCCUUUGGCAGUGUGGAAUACACUUUGGAAAGUGCAAGUCCCACGUAGAAUUCAGAUUUUUGGGUGGAGGGUUCUGCAAGGAAUCGUUCCGCUAAAAGCAAUCCUGACAAACAGACAUAUUGGUUCUAAUGAGGCGUGCCCGAUAUGCCAUCAAGGUGCUGAGGAUAUUAGGCAUCUUUUAUUUCUAUGUGUGCAUGCAAAGGAAGUGUGGAGGCGUCUUGGGAUGUUGCAACUGGUGGAAGAUGCUGUA